Molecule: ribosomal RNA, 467 nt
Filed under: uncultured bacterium
Lineage: Bacteria
Description: partial 16S ribosomal RNA
Rfam family: Bacterial small subunit ribosomal RNA
Source: RNAcentral
GACGAACGCUGGCGGCGUGCUUAACACAUGCAAGUCGAACGGAAAGGCCCUGCUUUUGUGGGGUGCUCGAGUGGCGAACGGGUGAGUAACACGUGAGUAACCUGCCCUUGACUUUGGGAUAACUUCAGGAAACUGGGGCUAAUACCGGAUAGGAGCUCCUGCUGCAUGGUGGGGGUUGGAAAGUUUCGGCGGUUGGGGAUGGACUCGCGGCUUAUCAGCUUGUUGGUGGGGUAGUGGCUUACCAAGGCUUUGACGGGUAGCCGGCCUGAGAGGGUGACCGGCCACAUUGGGACUGAGAUACGGCCCAGACUCCUACGGGAGGCAGCAGUGGGGAAUAUUGCACAAUGGGCGGAAGCCUGAUGCGCAACGCCGCGUGCGGGAUGACGGCCUUCGGGUUGUAAACCGCUUUCGCCUGUGACGAAGCGUGAGUGACGGUAAUGGGUAAAGAAGCACCGGCUAACUACGUG